Molecule: long non-coding RNA, 1161 nt
Filed under: Corvus moneduloides (New Caledonian crow)
Lineage: Eukaryota; Metazoa; Chordata; Aves; Passeriformes; Corvidae
Description: lncRNA (ENSCMUG00000018686.1)
Source: RNAcentral
AUGAGCGCGGCGCCAGGCGCGGCUGCAGCACAAGGGCCAGCGAUGGCGCCGAACGCUGCCGCGGAGCAAGAGACAAGCACGGCGCCGGGCGUGGCUGUUGCCCCAGAGACGGCAGCAGCAGCUCCAGUACUGGUUCGGUCGGGACUGGCCGAGGUGGCAUCCCGUAAAGAAGCUGCUGUCCAAACUGCAGCGCAGCCAGCUGUCAUCUGUGCUGUCUGUUCUGGCUCUAGCGAACUUAGCCAAAGUGCCCCUCUCCGUCCAUCUCUGUUCGCUCCCAGCAUCUCUGAGUUGCCUUUGCCUGAUGACUCGUCAUCGGGAAGUGAGGCAGAUGAGGUUCUGGCCCCAGGUCGUCAGGCGGCUGUAGCCGCGCAGCGAAGGAAAAGGCUGCGCUGGUCUCGCCCCUGGACCUUUCAGUACUGCACAGUAACAGUACGUCCAACCAACUACAGUCACUUCUUAGAGUCAGUUAGGACGCGAGCAUUGGAGGAGGGUGACUGGAGGUUAUUGGAAACACUUGGAAUGCCAAAUAGAUUUGAGGAUUCUGGGGGUAACCGGGAAGCUGUUACACUUCAUCCACAGGCUGUGCCAGAAGUUCAGGAUGGUAGUGACUCCCCAAAAGGGGAGAUCCAAGCUUUCCCAGUGUAUAAGGCUCUCCCAAAUUCUGGCGAGCGUGAUAAGCAUGAGGUAAUUGCUUGGAAAGUUGCCCAGGACCUCCAAUCCAAGGUGGCACAACAUGGGCUAAGUUCUGCUGAGGUUAUGCGGAUAAUAAGGGUGAUAAAUACAGAUUUGCUUUCUCCAUUUGCUAUCAGACACUUAGGUCAAAUUCUAUUUCAACCUGUACAAUUUACAGUUUUUGAGAAAACCUGGAGAAAGCUGGCCGGCAAGGCUGCAUUAGGGAAUAUGCAGCUCCCUGCUGCCGAUCCUAGACGGACAGCAGGAAUGGAUGCUUUGAUGGGGACUGCUCCCUUCUCUGAUCCCAGUCUACAGGGCACCUUGUCCUCUAGUGUCCUGCAGCAAGUUCAAAAGGUCAGCAUGGCUGCCCUGUUGAAAACCAUAGAGUUGUCUGCGCCUAGAAAGCGAUAUACUGAAAUAGUUCAAGGGAAAUCAGUCAUUCCUCUCUUUUGUAGAGAAAGUCGCUGCUUCUCUCGAGAAGCAGGUUGA